This is a long non-coding RNA of Zingiber officinale, 1298 nucleotides long. RefSeq lists it as uncharacterized. The record is from RefSeq and is a predicted model, not a curated record. The transcript has 7 exons. Lineage: Eukaryota; Viridiplantae; Streptophyta; Magnoliopsida; Zingiberales; Zingiberaceae.
UGGCAGUGGACACAGAGACAUGAAAAAGCCUUUUGAUGCUGACUUUUUUCAGCUUUACUCCGCCGAUUCCGCCGCUACUCCUUAAAAUUUAAAAAGGAGGCAUUUUUUUUUUCAUCUUUUCCUUGAUCUUCUCGUUCUUGGUGAAUUUCUUCCGCUGCUCUUGGUAUCUGGAGACCAAACAAUCUGUCACUGCUGGAGAGCUGGCAUUGGUAUUUGGUGGUGGUAUAGAGAGGAAGAGCAAGGGAUCCGCCAUUUCUGGAGUGCUGGGGACUGGUGACCUUUGCUAAACAGAUUGUGCUCAAUUUCUUUCUGGAGAGCUAGGAAUGGUGGUGUCAUAAAGAGGAAAAACUAGCAAUCUGCCAUUAGCAAGAAGCUUGUGCUCAAUCUCUUUAUGAAGAUCUCUACAUUCCCCAAUUUUAUCGUCAUUUCCUUAUUUUGGAUUUCUUCUACUGCUCUUGAUAGCUGGAGAACUGGGACUGGCGGUGGCGUAGAGAGGAAGAACAAGCAAUUUUCCAUUGAGAGCUAGGACUGGUGGUAGCCUAGAGAGGAAAACCAAACAAUCUGCCAUUGCUGGAGAGCUAGGAAGAGCGGUGGUGUAGAGAGGAAAGCAAAGCAAUCUUCAACUGAAAUUUCAUCAGCAGUGGAACAAAUAGUUCUUUCCUAUCUUCAUAGCAUGGCUCAAAGAACAAAUGCUAUCGAUCGCAAUGGAGCCGCUAUCAAGGUUGGAACAAUCGGCACAAUAGGUUCCUUGAUGACUCGAGAGUUAGAAUGCACCAAGCAUUCGGACCAAACAUGCCCUCCAAUGCAGCGAAAACAACAAACAGCGCCGGUGUCCAUACAUUGCGGUGCCAAUUCGAGGAAAACAUUGCAGAAAAGAAAUCAAACUAACGAACAUGGGAGCAGCAGCCGCAAUGACAGUGGUAGCAGCACAGGGCAUGCUAAUGGCGCACCGCGAAGAAACGGGCCCGAGAUUCCGAUGCUAGUAACUGAUGGCAGUCUAGUAGACCAACAUCCGAACACUGAUAAGGCAGAAAAGAAAGCACACUCUUAUAUUGUGGAGGUUGUCGACUUAAAAUGCAGCAAUCCAAUGAGCACACGGUUGAAGAAACUCGGGUUCUCCAAGCUCUCCGAAUCGAUAUCCUAGUUCUCUUAAUCAAUUUGUAAAAGUGAGGUCCUUUGGAGAAAUCAUCAACCUACUUGAUCUUGAUCUUGGCAUCGGAUUGAACUGUUUGCUUCUACAUGGUAAUCGAGAUCUAAACCAUGUUUUUUAUGACAAGCGACCUUAUUUCUGUUGGGCA